GGGGGGGGGGGGGGGGGGGGGGGGGGGGGGGGGGGGGGGGGGGCGAGGGCCCGGCCGUGAGGGAGCGGCCCUCCGCGCUGAGGGUAAACCCUACAUUGUCACGGGAAUUCCCAUGUGCCUAACCUGACCCGCCCCUCAGACGUCUUUCCCUGGCUCAACAGGAACGCAUCAUGCAGAACCAGACUAUUUAGUUGCCUGAUCCCAAGUUGCCAAGGUCCCAGCGCCCAUCCCAUAGACACACGUUAGUAAAACGCGAGAGUCCUGAGAAGGAGACUGAAGUUAAAAGAAGACAGGGCAUAGGACACACUGGUUCCAUGCUGCAAACUGCAGCUCUUCAUUAGUGAUAAUGAGCUGGAGAUAAACCAGCGUGGCUGAGGAACAGGAAACGGACACUUAGCAGAACUGGGGACGAGCCUCCUUGGAUUCUGCACAACGGGGAAGGAGGGAGGGAAGCCCUCGCCACCGGCAGCUGCCCCUUCCCUUCCCUGGCCGUGCACAAAGGGGCAGCCCCGGCUCCCGGCGGCAGGACACGGCCCCUCGCCCUUCUGCCGCCACCACAGAACGGGAGCUCGCCGGCCAUCCGGUGGCCCCGCUGUCCCUCCGCCUGGCGGGCGCUGCCCUGCGGAGGGACAGGGGUCCCGGAGCCUCCCGAGUUCGGGCAGCGAUCUCGGGCAGCCGCCCCCCGUCCCCGGCAGGCACUGACCUGUGCAGCAGGACGCUCUGCACCGAGUCCAGGUCCUCCAGGUUUCUGGUGACGGGCCGCGGGAUGCUGUACCUGCCCGCCCCGAACAUCGCGGGCGGCCGGGGGGGGGGGGGGGGGGGGGGGGGGGGGGGGGGGGGGGGGGGGGGGGGGGGGGGGGGGGGGGGGGGGGGGG
RNAcentral lists this long non-coding RNA (875 nucleotides) under Ficedula albicollis (Collared flycatcher). RNAcentral describes it as "lncRNA (ENSFALG00000024737.1)". Lineage: Eukaryota; Metazoa; Chordata; Aves; Passeriformes; Muscicapidae. The record is from RNAcentral.